RNAcentral lists this ribosomal RNA (1272 nucleotides) under Pseudodiscocotyla mikiae. RNAcentral's name for it is "partial 28S ribosomal RNA". It matches the Rfam family "Eukaryotic large subunit ribosomal RNA", at positions 56 to 944 of the family's 3401-position model. The record is from RNAcentral. Lineage: Eukaryota; Metazoa; Platyhelminthes; Monogenea; Mazocraeidea; Discocotylidae.
AGAACUAACCAGGAUUCCCCUAGUAACGGCGAGUGAACAGGGAUUAGCCCAGCACUGAAGCCUGCGUCCUUUUGGGCGUUGGGCAAUGUGGUGUUUAGGUUAGCGCUUUUGAGUGCUUCUCCGUUCCAAGUCCAAUAUUGAAUAUGGCCCUUGAUUUGGCCCAGAGAGGGUGAAAGGCCCGUGUGGACGGAGUGGUACUUGACCGCGUUGACUAUGGAGUCGGGUUGUUUGAGAAUGCAGCCCAAAGUUGGUGGUAAACUCCAUCUAAGGCUAAAUACUGGCACGAGUCCGAUAGCGAACAAGUACCGUGAGGGAAAGUUGAAAAGUACUCUGAAGAGAGAGUUAACAGUGCGUGAAACCGCUUAGAGGCAAACGGGUGUAGUCAAGCUGCAAGCCUUGCGAAAUAGGUGGGCCAGAAUGGCGUGAGUCUGAGCACAUAUGAGCUGGCGUUUGGGUCUGUCCAAUGGGCGGGUUCGGCUCGCAAGAGUCGGAUUUGCGAAGCGGCAUUCGCCGUUGCAAACCUGAACUGUCAGUUGCUCUGCUGACCCACUAAUUUUUGCUUGGCGUAUGUCACGACCGUCGUCGCUGUCGGUCUGCUCCGUUCAAACCGUUUCGUGGGUAGUCUUGUGCUUCUCGCGUUGCGGGGGCAGGUAGCUGGCCCGGCGCAAGCUGAGCUGGUGUAAUUUGCUGAGUGGAGUGGUACCUGUAACUGUGCAGUGCGGCGGGGCUGGCGGUGCUGGGCGUGCUAAAGUGUAUCGGCGUGACGUGAGUCUGGCUGCUUGUUGCUGUCUCCUGACAGCCUGGUAGUGGCUCUGUCGCGGUUUGGUAUGCGGCUGCGUCUGGUAUAUUGUGCCAACAGUCUGUGGCGUAGUGGUAGACGAUCCACCCGACCCGUCUUGAAACACGGACCAAGGAGUUUAACAUGUGCGCGAGUCAAUGGGCAGUGCUUAACGCAUACGAAACCCAAGGGCGCAGUGAAAGUAAAGGUUGGCUUCUAGCCUAUCUGAGGUGAGAUCCUGCUGUUUCUCUUGCAUAUAUUUGAUCAUACUAUAGAGCAGUGGGCGCAUCACCGGCCCGUCCCAUGGUGUAGUAUGGCUUCGGCUGUGCAGCAUCGGGGCGGAGCAUGAGCGUACAUGUUGAGACCCGAAAGAUGGUGAACUAUGCUUGCGCAGGUUGAAGCCGGAGGAAACUCUGGUGGAGGACCGUAGCGAUUCUGACGUGCAAAUCGAUCGUAUGAUGUGAGUAUAGGGGCGAAAGACUAAUCGAACCAUC